This 915-nucleotide ribosomal RNA is filed under the name Vibrio sp. j21432. RNAcentral describes it as "bacterial SSU rRNA". It matches the Rfam family "Bacterial small subunit ribosomal RNA", at positions 33 to 929 of the family's 1533-position model. The record is from RNAcentral. Lineage: Bacteria; Pseudomonadati; Pseudomonadota; Gammaproteobacteria; Vibrionales; Vibrionaceae.
GGGCAGGCGGCAGGCUACCGUGCGCGUCGAGCGGAACGAGUUAUCAAAGCCUUCGGGUGGAGAUAACGGCGUCGAGCGGCGGACGGGUGAGUAAUGCCUGGGAAAUUGCCCUGAUGUGGGGGAUAACCAUUGGAAACGAUGGCUAAUACCGCAUAAUAGCUUCGGCUCAAAGAGGGGGACCUUCGGGCCUCUCGCGUCAGGAUAUGCCCAGGUGGGAUUAGCUAGUUGGUGAGGUAAUGGCUCACCAAGGCGACGAUCCCUAGCUGGUCUGAGAGGAUGAUCAGCCACACUGGAACUGAGACACGGUCCAGACUCCUACGGGAGGCAGCAGUGGGGAAUAUUGCACAAUGGGCGCAAGCCUGAUGCAGCCAUGCCGCGUGUAUGAAGAAGGCCUUCGGGUUGUAAAGUACUUUCAGCAGUGAGGAAGGUGGUGUCGUUAAUAGCGGCAUCAUUUGACGUUAGCUGCAGAAGAAGCACCGGCUAACUCCGUGCCAGCAGCCGCGGUAAUACGGAGGGUGCGAGCGUUAAUCGGAAUUACUGGGCGUAAAGCGCAUGCAGGUGGUUUGUUAAGUCAGAUGUGAAAGCCCGGGGCUCAACCUCGGAAUUGCAUUUGAAACUGGCAGACUAGAGUACUGUAGAGGGGGGUAGAAUUUCAGGUGUAGCGGUGAAAUGCGUAGAGAUCUGAAGGAAUACCGGUGGCGAAGGCGGCCCCCUGGACAGAUACUGACACUCAGAUGCGAAAGCGUGGGGAGCAAACAGGAUUAGAUACCCUGGUAGUCCACGCCGUAAACGAUGUCUACUUGGAGGUUGUGGCCCUUGAGCCGUGGCUUUCGGAGCUAACGCGUUAAGUAGACCGCCUGGGGAGUACGGUCGCAAGAUUAAAACUCAAAAUGAAUUGACGGGGGGCCCCGCACC